Non-coding RNA from Pelodiscus sinensis (Chinese soft-shelled turtle), 351 nucleotides. The record is from RefSeq and is a predicted model, not a curated record. Lineage: Eukaryota; Metazoa; Chordata; Testudines; Trionychidae.
GCAUAGCAUAUAGGCUCUUUGGAGUAAAGCUAAAAUGUAGGCUGAGUGCAGUGGAAGGGGAAGCAAGCAGAGGCUAUUAUACCAAGCAGACAGCCACACCUACAAAGGAGGAACCAAACCUGGAUCUCCUGGAGCUUAGUGAAUGAGCCUCAACCACAUGAGCAAAAAGCCAACUGGCUCUGAGGGCUUUCGAUUUCCAAGCAUUAAGUUAACUUCACAGCUGCCUAAGGAAGAAAACAGGUAAUAUCCCUGAUCACAGGUGAGAAAAUUUAGUCCCAGAGGGGAGAUGACCACAGCUGCUGCAAAUUGUCUCGGUUCUGACUGCAAAGGAGCUCUGACAACAUCUAUCAU